CCUACGGGAGGCAGCAGUGAGGAAUAUUGGUCAAUGGGCUUACGCCUGAACCAGCCAAGUCGCGUGAGGGAAGACUGCCCUAUGGGUUGUAAACCUCUUUUGUCAGGGAGCAAUUGGCGCUACGUGUAGCGUUAUCGAGAGUACCCGAAGAAAAAGCAUCGGCUAACUCCGUGCCAGCAGCCGCGGUAAUACGGAGGAUGCGAGCGUUAUUCGGAUUUAUUGGGUUUAAAGGGUGCGUAGGCGGACUGGAAAGUCAGCGGUAAAAUCGAGAGGCUCAACCUCUUUCCGCCGUUGAAACUGUCGGUCUUGAGUGGGCGAGAAGUAUGCGGAAGGCGUGGUGUAGCGGUGAAAUGCAUAGAUAUCACGCAGAACUCCGAUUGCGAAGGCAGCAUACCGGCGCCCGACUGACGCUGAGGCACGAAAGCGUGGGUAUCGAACAGGAUUAGAUACCCGUGUAGUC
This 460-nucleotide ribosomal RNA is filed under the name uncultured bacterium. RNAcentral describes it as "partial 16S ribosomal RNA". It matches the Rfam family "Bacterial small subunit ribosomal RNA", at positions 338 to 795 of the family's 1533-position model. The record is from RNAcentral.